CUCGUAGGCUGUUCGGUCAGUCAGAUGUGAAAGCCCUCGGCUUAACCGGGGAACUGCAUUUGAUACUGCCAGACUUGAGUGUCGGAGAGGGUGGCGGAAUUCCGGGUGUAGGAGUGAAAUCCGUAGAUAUCCGGAGGAACACCAGUGGCGAAGGCGGCCACCUGGACGACAACUGACGCUGAGGAGCGAAAGCGUGGGGAGCAAACAG
RNAcentral lists this ribosomal RNA (208 nucleotides) under uncultured Desulfovibrio sp. RNAcentral's name for it is "partial 16S ribosomal RNA". It matches the Rfam family "Bacterial small subunit ribosomal RNA", at positions 568 to 775 of the family's 1533-position model. The record is from RNAcentral. Lineage: Bacteria; Pseudomonadati; Thermodesulfobacteriota; Desulfovibrionia; Desulfovibrionales; Desulfovibrionaceae.